Hemicordylus capensis (graceful crag lizard) is the source of this 262-nucleotide long non-coding RNA. RefSeq lists it as uncharacterized. NCBI's taxonomy places the organism in Eukaryota, Metazoa, Chordata, Lepidosauria, Squamata, Cordylidae. The transcript is spliced from 3 exons. The record is from RefSeq and is a predicted model, not a curated record.
GAGAGCGAGCUGCCUGGCUGUUGCUGCUUUUUUGGCUGUAGAGCUAUGCUGCCUCUGUCUCUGGUCUGGUCUCUGCUGCUGUGCUGGGAGUCAGCAGAGCUAGCUGAAGUGGCAUUGUGGACACUGAAGCUUCAUGCCCAACUACAGAAAUAAUAUCUUUCCCACAGGAAAAAAAAACCCACCAGUAGAAUGUAAAAUGGUGACACUGCAAAUGUCCACGACUUUCCGCUUCUAAUGCAAAAACUGCAGAUCAGCUGUUGAA